ACUGCUCAUGAGAAAAUCACACACAGAAGAGACUGAUUUGUGCUGGGGGGUCAGGUUCAGUGUGAGUAGUUGAGGUUGCACAAGAUAGCAGCUGACACCACCAUGGCUGUGUGCACGAGACUGGCGUUACUGGGUGCUCUUUCCUUCUGACUUCAACCAGGCACUAAAGGUUACCAGCUCAUGGUGAUGAUUGUCAGAUUGGAACUCACAGUGUGUGAUAUAAAUAUAUCCACUAUCAUCCAAUCGGACACAAUGAGUGGGAGACUCCUGGGCAGAGCUGGGGAAGUGGGACACAGCUCCAGAGCUGAAGAAACUCGGAGUCACAUGACCUCCCAGAUAUAAAGACGUCUAAGAGGAAAUCCAAAUGUGGUGUUGGGGUCAGUUCUUUUCCAUGGACCAUGUGGAACCUCAGGUGGAGGAGGAAGGACAUGAGAUAAUGUCACACAAGAUACAUCGGUUCUUCAAAUAAGAGGAUAAAUAGCUCAGGUGACAGUUAAAAUUAGAGUAAGAAGAAUGUUCAGCCUGGUGACCAAACAGCUGCACACAUUGGAAGUCAGGUUGUUCUAAGCUCUGUGGAGCAUUUACCAUCCACCUGAGAGAAGAGUGAACUGCAGGAAGGUGAAGACCAGCAGGCUGUCAUCUGAGUGUGAGGAAAGAACCAGCGUCCCCUCUCUGCCAGCGUGGGUAUUACCUCUUUACACUUAAAUAGAGCUUCAUAAUGGUUUUC
Artibeus jamaicensis (Jamaican fruit-eating bat) is the source of this 727-nucleotide long non-coding RNA. RefSeq lists it as uncharacterized. NCBI's taxonomy places the organism in Eukaryota, Metazoa, Chordata, Mammalia, Chiroptera, Phyllostomidae. The transcript is spliced from 4 exons. The record is from RefSeq and is a predicted model, not a curated record.